RNAcentral lists this ribosomal RNA (347 nucleotides) under uncultured Providencia sp. RNAcentral's name for it is "bacterial SSU rRNA". It matches the Rfam family "Bacterial small subunit ribosomal RNA", at positions 8 to 353 of the family's 1533-position model. Lineage: Bacteria; Pseudomonadati; Pseudomonadota; Gammaproteobacteria; Enterobacterales; Morganellaceae. The record is from RNAcentral.
AGAGUUUGAUCAUGGCUCAGAUUGAACGCUGGCGGCAGGCCUAACACAUGCAAGUCGAGCGGUAACAGGGGAAGCUUGCUUCUCGCUGACGAGCGGCGGACGGGUGAGUAAUGUAUGGGGAUCUGCCCGAUAGAGGGGGAUAACUACUGGAAACGGUAGCUAAUACCGCAUAAUCUCUAAGGAGCAAAGCAGGGGAACUUCGGUCCUUGCGCUAUCGGAUGAACCCAUAUGGGAUUAGCUAGUUGGUGAGGUAAUGGCUCACCAAGGCGACGAUCCCUAGCUGGUCUGAGAGGAUGAUCAGCCACACUGGGACUGAGACACGGCCCAGACUCCUACGGGAGGCAGCA